GCAUGCAGUCGAACGGUAUCGGUUCCUUCGGGGAUCGAGAGAGUGGCGAACGGGUGAGUAACACGUAGGUUAUCUGCCCUCGAGAUCGGGACAACCCAGGGAAACUUGGGCUAAUACCGGAUGCGUGCUACUGUAGUGGUAGCAUAAAAGGUGGCGUUUGCUGCCGCUUGAGGAUGAGCCUGCGUCCUAUUAGUUAGUUGGUGAGGUAAUGGCUUACCAAGGCGAUGAUAGGUAGGCGGCCUUAACGGGUGGUCGCCCACACUGGGAUUGAGAUACGGCCCAGACUCCUACGGGAGGCAGCAGUCGAGAAUAGUCUACAAUGGUCGAAAGACUGAUAGUGCGACGCCGCGUGAACGAAGACGCCUUUCGGGGUGUAAAGUUCUUUUAUAUGUGAGCAGUGGAUGUUACAUUAAUAGUGUGAUAUCAGGGAUAUUAGCAUAUGAAUAAGCAACGGCUAACUCCGUGCCAGCAGCCGCGGUAACACGGGGGUUGCGAGCGUGGUCCGGAAUUACUAGGCGUAAAGGGCAGGUAGGCGGAGAUGUAAGUUUGAUGUUAAAGGUACUGGCUCACCCAGUGUACGGCAUCAGAUACUGCAUUUCUUGAAUACGGUUGGGGAAGACAGAAUUCCUGGUGUAGCGGUGGAAUGCGCAGAGAUCAGGAGGAAUACCGAAGGCGAAGGCAGUCUUCUAAGCCGGUUAUUGACGCUAAACUGCGAAGGUGUGGGUAUCAAACAGGAUUAGAUACCCUGGUAGUCCACACAGUAAACGAUAAUCACUAGGUGUCGGUUUCUUAUCAAUGGAUUCGGUGCCGUAGCUAACGCGUUAAGUGAUUCGCCUGGGGAGUACGAUCGCAAGGUUGAAACUCAAAGGAAUUGACGGGGGCCCGCACAAGCGGUGGAGCAUGUGGUUUAAUUCGAGGCAACGCGAGGAACCUUACCAGGGCUUGACAUCCAACUAACGAAGCAGAGAUGCAUUAGGCGCCCCUUCGGGGAAAGUUGAGACAGGUGGUGCAUGGUUGUCGUCAGCUCGUGUCGUGAGAUGUUGGGUUAAGUCCCGCAACGAGCGCAACCCCUAUUGUUAGUUGCUACCAUUAAGUUGAGCACUCUAGCGAGACUGCCGAGGUCAACUCGGAGGAAGGUGGGGAUGACGUCAAAUCAUCAUGCCCCUUAUGUCUAGGGCUACACACGUGCUACAAUGGCGAGUACAACAAGAUGCAAGACCGCGAGGUGGAGCAAAACUGUAAAACUCGUCCCAGUUCGGAUUGUAGGCUGAAACUCGCCUACAUGAAGCCGGAGUUGCUAGUAAUCGCGAAUCAGA
This 1316-nucleotide ribosomal RNA is filed under the name uncultured bacterium. RNAcentral describes it as "bacterial SSU rRNA". It matches the Rfam family "Bacterial small subunit ribosomal RNA", at positions 53 to 1353 of the family's 1533-position model. The record is from RNAcentral.